CGCCCGCCGCGCGCGGCGGGCGGGGCGGGGGCACGGGGGGCCUACGGGAGGCAGCAGUGGGGAAUAUUGCGCAAUGGGGGAAACCCUGACGCAGCGACGCCGCGUGAAGGAAGAAGGUCUUCGGAUCGUAAACUUCUAUCAGCAGGGAAGAAGAUAGUGACUGUACCUGACUAAGAAGCCCCGGCUAACUACGUGCCAGCAGCCGCGGUAAU
This 212-nucleotide ribosomal RNA is filed under the name uncultured bacterium. RNAcentral's name for it is "partial 16S ribosomal RNA". It matches the Rfam family "Bacterial small subunit ribosomal RNA", at positions 284 to 524 of the family's 1533-position model. The record is from RNAcentral.